RNAcentral lists this ribosomal RNA (460 nucleotides) under uncultured bacterium. Its description in RNAcentral is "partial 16S ribosomal RNA". It matches the Rfam family "Bacterial small subunit ribosomal RNA", at positions 338 to 795 of the family's 1533-position model. The record is from RNAcentral.
CCUACGGGAGGCAGCAGUGAGGAAUAUUGGUCAAUGGACGAGAGUCUGAACCAGCCAAGUAGCGUGAAGGAUGACUGCCCUAUGGGUUGUAAACUUCUUUUAUAUGGGAAUAAAAUGUUCCACGUGUGGGAUUUUGUAUGUACCAUAUGAAUAAGGAUCGGCUAACUCCGUGCCAGCAGCCGCGGUAAUACGGAGGAUCCGAGCGUUAUCCGGAUUUAUUGGGUUUAAAGGGAGCGUAGGUGGAUUGUUAAGUCAGUUGUGAAAGUUUGCGGCUCAACCGUAAAAGUGCAGUUGAAACUGGCAGUCUUGAGUACAGUAGAGGUGGGCGGAAUGCGUGGUGUAGCGGUGAAAUGCUUAGAUAUCACGAAGAACUCCGAUUGCGAAGGCAGUUCACUGGACUGCAACUGACACUGAGGCUCGAAAGUGUGGGUAUCAAACAGGAUUAGAUACCCGAGUAGUC